GACGAACGCUGGCGGCGUGCUUAACACAUGCAAGUCGAACGGAAAGGCCCUGCUUUUGUGGGGUGCUCGAGUGGCGAACGGGUGAGUAACACGUGAGUAACCUGCCCUUGACUUUGGGAUAACUUCAGGAAACUGGGGCUAAUACCGGAUAGGAGCUCCUGCUGCAUGGUGGGGGUUGGAAAGUUUCGGCGGUUGGGGAUGGACUCGCGGCUUAUCAGCUUGUUGGUGGGGUAGUGGCUUACCAAGGCUUUGACGGGUAGCCGGCCUGGGAGGGUGACCGGCCACAUUGGGAAUGAGAUACGGCCCAGACGCCUACGGGAGGCAGCAGUGGGGAAUAUUGCACAAUGGGCGGAAGCCUGAUGCAGCAACGCCGCGUGCGGGAUGACGGCCUUCGGGUUGUAACCGCUUUCGCCUGUGACGAAGCGUGAGUGACGGUAAUGGGUAAAGAAGCACCGGCUAACUACGUG
This 467-nucleotide ribosomal RNA is filed under the name uncultured bacterium. RNAcentral describes it as "partial 16S ribosomal RNA". It matches the Rfam family "Bacterial small subunit ribosomal RNA", at positions 28 to 507 of the family's 1533-position model. The record is from RNAcentral.